CAGAGGGUGCGAGCGUUAAUCGGAUUUACUGGGCGUAAAGCGUGCGUAGGCGGCUUUUUAAGUACGGAGUGUGAAAUACCCUCGAGCUUAACUUAGGAAGUUGCAUUCGAUACUGGGAAGGCUAGAGUAUGGGAGGAGGAUGGUAGAAUUCCAGGUGUAGCGGUGAAAUAGCGUAGAGAUCUGGAGGAAUACCGAUGGCGGAAGGCAGCCAUCUGGCCUAAUACUGACGCUGAGGUACGAAAGCAUGGGGAGCAAACAAGGAUU
This 264-nucleotide ribosomal RNA is filed under the name uncultured bacterium. RNAcentral describes it as "partial 16S ribosomal RNA". It matches the Rfam family "Bacterial small subunit ribosomal RNA", at positions 526 to 779 of the family's 1533-position model. The record is from RNAcentral.